GGUCUCUCCACCCACACAAGGGAGAGUAGAGGCCACAAAGGUUAAAGCUGCAUCUCCUACGCAGGGACCUGGUUCCUAGUCCUGCUUUGGCUCCGACUUAACUCAGUGACAUUGAACAAUUUCCAGCCCUUCUCUGAGCCUUGGUGGCCCAUCUGUAAAAUGAGGCCCCAGAUGAUCCCUUUCAACACUGACAUUCUAAGGUUCAAGGUUUAGAGACUCAACCUCAAGAAUCCUUACCAGAAGGUGUGUGUGAACAGGAAGCCACUAUGACUUUAGAAGAAGAGAAUGACACAACAGAAAGUCUAAAGGAAAAAAAAAAAAUGGCCAAAGAAGAAUCCACUUAGCAAACAUUUGGAGCAUCUCCUACCUGCAUUGGAGCUGCAAACAUGAAUGUGGAGCUCAAGAACUCAGAAGUCAAGGUGUUUAUAGCGGACUAAACAGACUUGUCAACAAAUGUUCCACAGUCUUCUGAUUUCUCUGUUCCCCAAUAUCCAUGGCUGUUGUGUACAGUUGUACAGGUUGUUCACUGCACAAGGGUACUGGCUCAGAGUUUGCAGGCACUGAAAAGCAGGCCAGGCUCCAUUCUGUAAGCACGGGUCUACAGAACUAUGUCUUCCUUGGGGGUGGGGUGCUUUCUCCUAAUUCUCACAAACGUGUCACGUGGCUUGGCCCAGCCCUGCAGCAUUCGCAUUUGCCCUGCUCUGAUCCACUCAGCCCCAAAAGUGAUCAUCUUAGGUUCAAAAGGAUAACAUCACCUCCCCAGCCCAAACACACACUCUCAUGAGUACUCCAUCAUCCAUAACUUGGCCUUCAAGUUCCUUCAUAAUCUUCCACCAUCUCCUUCCCCCUUGUACUCCACAUAGUACACAGACCACACACUGUUCCUCCACUUCCUUCAGCAAGCCAUGCCCCCCUGCCCUUUGUACACACUGUUCCCUCUGUCUGGAACAACCCCUUUUCCCUGUUUGGACAUCGAAUACCUCCAAUCUCCAGAUCUCAGCUUAGACAUCAUUCUCUCCAAAAAGCCUUCUCUGAAUCCUCUGCAUGCCCACACCCUAAGAGACCAGGUUCUUCUUUAUUAUGGCCUCACAGCUCCUAUGCUUCUCCAAAACACUUGUCAGAAUUGUAAUUAAAUGAUUAGUAGUAUUCGUAGUGGAUUAUUGCCUUUCUCCCCUAUGAAAUUGGAAGCUCCUGGAGCCUGGGGACCAUGUUUCUUAUGUGCUGUACAUGCUAUCUAUCUAUCUAUCUACUGACUCUAUGCUGUAACCCCAGUACAUAUGGUUGGUGUUUAAUAAAUAAUUAUUGAAUAAAUGAAUGUUGUUCAAUGUAAUGAAGGCCAGUGGAGAGCUGAUUCCACUUGCCUGAGGAA
Molecule: non-coding RNA, 1369 nt
Organism: Kogia breviceps (pygmy sperm whale)
Lineage: Eukaryota; Metazoa; Chordata; Mammalia; Artiodactyla; Physeteridae
Source: RefSeq, a predicted model, not a curated record